UACGUAGGGUGCAAGCGUUGUUCGGAAUUACUGGGCGUAAAGCGCACGUAGGCGGACAUUUAAGUCAGGGGUGAAAUCCCGGGGCUCAACCUCGGAACUGCCUUUGAUACUGGGUGUCUUGAGUAUGGAAGAGGUAAGUGGAAUUGCGAGUGUAGAGGUGAAAUUCGUAGAUAUUCGCAGGAACACCAGUGGCGAAGGCGGCUUACUGGUCCAUUACUGACGCUGAGGUGCGAAAGCGUGGGGAGCAAACAGG
Molecule: ribosomal RNA, 253 nt
Filed under: uncultured bacterium
Lineage: Bacteria
Description: partial 16S ribosomal RNA
Rfam family: Bacterial small subunit ribosomal RNA
Source: RNAcentral